Sardina pilchardus (European sardine) is the source of this 716-nucleotide long non-coding RNA. RefSeq lists it as uncharacterized. NCBI's taxonomy places the organism in Eukaryota, Metazoa, Chordata, Actinopteri, Clupeiformes, Clupeidae. The record is from RefSeq and is a predicted model, not a curated record. The transcript is spliced from 5 exons.
AGUCUACCCGACAGCGCACAUUGGAGAUCGGCGGAGGAACCGUGAAGAACCAUUUAGCCGAUCCCGCUUCUUUUUUUUUUAAAUGCUGCCUGCUGGUGACGAGUAUGAGAAGUCCGUUCGUUGGUCCACAUCAAGCUGGCUGUGUAAGCACGAAGUGCCACAAGAUGAUUGGCAGCAAGAGUCAACCAGUGAUGAAGGGAUGCGCUCAACUGAAUACAAGUGUCUGUGAACACAAACAUGCAGCAGAGUCGUGAAACCCCUCAAUCCCGUCCAGGCCUUCCAAACAGGACUCCUCUAAUGUCUGUGAACACACACGCAGCAUGGUUGUGAAACCCUUCAAUCCCAUCCAGGCCUUCCACACAGGACCCCUCUAACUGUUGAAAGGCUGAGCAGGUUGGACUCCAGCUGAAAAUGGACUAUGUAAAACAACUCCAAAAAACAAUGCACAAUACACCUUCAUUUUGACAAUAGGCCUAUUUCAUAUUUUAUAGCUGAUUCUGGUUAUUUUCCAAUAAUCUUCUUUACACUAGAUUUAAAUGUAAUGUAAAUUAAUGACAUAUCUAGCUUCUGUUUAAUACAAACAUAACAGCUGCAUGUACACUAUACUGGCCAUCCCCAAACUUCCCACAAAGUUGGGAGCAUGGAAUUGUCCAUAGUCACGUCUGCAGUCGUUUACAUUAAGUCGAAUCCACCUAUUGAUUGACUGACUGACUGAC